This 501-nucleotide ribosomal RNA is filed under the name uncultured bacterium. RNAcentral describes it as "partial 16S ribosomal RNA". It matches the Rfam family "Bacterial small subunit ribosomal RNA", at positions 28 to 506 of the family's 1533-position model. The record is from RNAcentral.
GACGAACGCUGGCGGCGUGCCUAAUACAUGCAAGUCGAACGAACCGCGACUAGGUGCUUGCACUUGGUCAAGGUGAGUGGCGAACGGGUGAGUAACACGUGGGUAACCUACCUCAUAGUGGGGGAUAACAGUCGGAAACGACUGCUAAUACCGCAUAGGACAUAGGAUCACAUGAUUCUGUGAGGAAAGGUGGCGCAAGCUAUCGCUAAGAGAUGGACCCGCGGUGCAUUAGCUAGUUGGUAGGGUAAAGGCCUACCAAGGCGAUGAUGCAUAGCCGACCGGAGGGGGUGACGGGCCACAUGGGGAGUGAGCCACGGCCAAACCCCCACGGGGGGGCAGAAGUGGGGAAUCUCCCGAAAUGGAGGAAAGUCUAACGGAGCAACGCCGGGGGAGUAAAGAAGGUCUUGGGAUGGAAAAGCUUUGUUGUUAGAGAAAAACAGGGAAAAGAGUAACGGUUAUGGGUGGGGCGGUAUCAAACCAAAAAGCCACGGCUAACUACGU